This is a non-coding RNA of Ascosphaera pollenicola, 71 nucleotides long. The record is from the annotation of a GenBank genome assembly. Lineage: Eukaryota; Fungi; Ascomycota; Eurotiomycetes; Onygenales; Ascosphaeraceae.
GUAGAUAUAGUUCAAUGGUAGAACAGCUGUAUGUGGCACAGUCAAUCCUUGUUCAAAUCAAGGUAUCUUCC